GCGAGCGCAGCUGCACGCGCAAGGAGGCCCACAGCGUCCCGGGCCCCUCCUCCCCCGCCGCCGCCGGGGCACACCGCACCUGAACCCCACUCCCUAGGACGCCCCAUUGUUCUCCCUCCGCUUUCCUGCCCGGAGGAAGCCACACCGUGUCUUUCCAGGGGGCCAGGAAACAGCUGUGGGCCAGAGGAAUGGAGGGGCUGUGGGUGAACACGAGGACAGCCGAGAUUCGACUCUGCCCACAGACCAGCAAAGCCAAGGACAGAGAGAUCUUCAGGGAAUACAUGGCUAUGGUGGUUUGAAGACUCCCAUUAGAGAGUGGAUAUUAAUUGCCCUCCUUUUGAAUACGGUCUGGACUUAGUGAUUUGAUCGUAACAAAUAGAAUACAGCAGAUGUGAUGCUAUGUGACUUCCAAACUAGGUCAUAAAAGGAGGUAAAGUUUUCACCUGGCUCUCCCUUGGGACACUCACCCUUGGAACCCAGCUGCCAUAUUGUGAGGAAGCUCAAGCCACAGGGAAGGCCAUGUGUAAGGUGUUUGGGCUGAUGGUGCUGGCUGAGGACCCAGUCUACUGCCAGUACAACUUACACCAGGCAUGUGAGUUGGCGAGCUUUUGAAAGAACUCCAGCCACAGUCACUGACUGACCACGCCGCCUGAGAGACCUGGAGAGAAAACCUAGCUGAGCCAAGUCAGGCCCCGGAAACAAUGUAAAGCAUGGAAGAAAUGCUUCAGUUUUUAUACAACUUUUUAUUUUGGCAUGCAACAAUCAGUACUUCAACUUAAAGGAAUGAGGAAGAUGGCGAUUUCAGACAUUUUGGCUCAAGGAAGACUGCUUCCUUCCCCAUCUACUGAAGUUAGGUGUGGGCAUAUGAUUUUUUUCAUGUCAAUAAAAUGUGAGUGGAAGUGACAGGGAUCACUUCCAGGUGAAACAUUUAAAAACUAGUGAGAGAUUCUCCAUGAUCAUUUUCCCUUCUGCCACCAUGAUCAACAGUAUUCCAAAUGAUGGUGCAUUCACCACUCUGGGUCCUGGAGUGAGGAUGAUAUGCAGUGGGAGUUAGCUAACUACAGCCUGUGGUCACCUGUUUUUGUAAAUAAAGCUUCAUUGGAACAUA
Molecule: long non-coding RNA, 1108 nt
Organism: Symphalangus syndactylus (siamang)
Lineage: Eukaryota; Metazoa; Chordata; Mammalia; Primates; Hylobatidae
Source: RefSeq, a predicted model, not a curated record